This 913-nucleotide ribosomal RNA is filed under the name Scytinostroma ochroleucum. Its description in RNAcentral is "LSU rRNA". It matches the Rfam family "Eukaryotic large subunit ribosomal RNA", at positions 35 to 964 of the family's 3401-position model. Lineage: Eukaryota; Fungi; Basidiomycota; Agaricomycetes; Russulales; Lachnocladiaceae. The record is from RNAcentral.
UAAGCAUAUCAAUAAGCGGAGGAAAAGAAACUAACAAGGAUUCCCCUAGUAACUGCGAGUGAAGCGGGAAAAGCUCAAAUUUAAAAUCUGGCAGUAUUUUGCUGUCCGAAUUGUAAUCUAGAGAAGUGUUUUCUGUGCUGGACCGUGUACAAGUCCCCUGGAAUGGGGCUGUCAUAGAGGGUGAGAAUCCCGUCUUUGACACGGACUCCCAGUGCUCUGUGAUACACUCUCAAAGAGUCGAGUUGUUUGGGAAUGCAGCUCAAAAUGGGUGGUGAACUCCAUCUAAAGCUAAAUAUUGGCGAGAGACCGAUAGCGAACAAGUACCGUGAGGGAAAGAUGAAAAGCACUUUGGAAAGAGAGUGAAACAGUACGUGAAAUUGCUGAAAGGGAAACGCUUAAAGUCAGUCUUGUUUGCUAGGAUUCAGCCCCUUCCUGGGUGUACUUUCUAGUAAACAGGCCAACAUCACUUUUGGUCAUUGGAAAAGGGUAGUGGGAAUGUGGCACCCUUUCGGGGGUGUGUUAUAGACUGCUAUCAUAUACAGUGAUUGGGAGUGAGGACUGCCAUUGUAGGAUGUUGGCAUAAUGGCUUUAAACGACCCGUCUUGAAACACGGACCAAGGAGUCUAACAUGCCUGCAAGUGUUUGGGUGGUCAAACCCAUGCGCGUAAUGAAAGUAAAAGUUUGGGAAGGCUGUCAAAGGCCUGCACCGACACCCGGACCUGAGAUUUAUCGAUGGUUCUGCGGUAGAGCAUGUAUGUUAGGACCCGAAAGAUGGUGAACUAUGCCUGAAUAGGGUGAAGCCAGAGGAAACUCUGGUGGAGGCUCGUAGCGAUUCUGACGUGCAAAUCGAUCGUCAAAUUUGGGUAUAGGGGCGAAAGACUAAUCGAACCAUCUAGUAGCUGGUUCCUGCCGA